RNAcentral lists this non-coding RNA (30 nucleotides) under Actinoplanes sp. SE50/110. Lineage: Bacteria; Bacillati; Actinomycetota; Actinomycetes; Micromonosporales; Micromonosporaceae. The record is from RNAcentral.
GCAGUGGCGAUAAGUUGCAGCGUCGCGACA